GACGAACGCUGGCGGCGUGCCUAAUACAUGCAAGUAGAACGCACAGUUUAUACCGUAGCUUGCUACACCAUAAACUGUGAGUUGCGAACGGGUGAGUAACGCGUAGGUAACCUGCCUGGUAGCGGGGGAUAACUAUUGGAAACGAUAGCUAAUACCGCAUAAUAUUAAUUAUUGCAUGAUAAUUGAUUGAAAGAUGCAAUUGCAUCACUACCAGAUGGACCUGCGUUGUAUUAGCUAGUAGGUGAGGUAACGGCUCACCUAGGCGACGAUACAUAACCGACCUGAGAGGGUGAUCGGCCACACUGGGACUGAGACACGGCCCAGACUCCUACGGGAGGCAGCAGUAGGGAAUCUUCGGCAAUGGACGAAAGUCUGACCGAGCAACGCCGCGUGAGUGAAGAAGGUUUUCGGAUCGUAAAGCUCUGUUGUAAGAGAAGAACGGGCGUGAGAGUGGAAAGUUCACACUGUGACGGUAUCUUACCAGAAAGGGACGGCUAACUACGUG
Molecule: ribosomal RNA, 505 nt
Filed under: uncultured bacterium
Lineage: Bacteria
Description: partial 16S ribosomal RNA
Rfam family: Bacterial small subunit ribosomal RNA
Source: RNAcentral